UCGUCAGCUCAGUAACACGUGUACAAUCUGCCCUGCACUCUGGGACAAGCCCUGGAAACGGGGUCUAAUACCGGAUAUUGACCUUCACGGGCAUCUGUGAGGUUCGAAAGCUCCGGCGGUGCAGGAUGAGCCCGCGGCCUAUCAGCUUGUUGGUGAGGUAAUGGCUCACCAAGGCGACGACGGGUAGCCGGCCUGAGAGGGCGACCGGCCACACUGGGACUGAGACACGGCCCAGACUCCUACGGGAGGCAGCAGUGGGGAAUAUUGCACAAUGGGCGAAAGCCUGAUGCAGCGACGCCGCGUGAGGGAUGACGGCCUUCGGGUUGUAAACCUCUUUCAGCAGGGAAGAAGCGAAAGUGACGGUACCUGCAGAAGAAGCGCCGGCUAACUACGUGCCAGCAGCCGCGGUAAUACGUAGGGCGCAAGCGUUGUCCGGAAUUAUUGGGCGUAAAGAGCUCGUAGGCGGCUUGUCACGUCGGUUGUGAAAGCCCGGGGCUUAACCCCGGGUCUGCAGUCGAUACGGGCAGGCUAGAGUUCGGUAGGGGAGAUCGGAAUUCCUGGUGUAGCGGUGAAAUGCGCAGAUAUCAGGAGGAACACCGGUGGCGAAGGCGGAUCUCUGGGCCGAUACUGACGCUGAGGAGCGAAAGCGUGGGGAGCGAACAGGAUUAGAUACCCUGGUAGUCCACGCCGUAAACGGUGGGCACUAGGUGUGGGCAACAUUCCACGUUGUCCGUGCCGCAGCUAACGCAUUAAGUGCCCCGCCUGGGGAGUACGGCCGCAAGGCUAAAACUCAAAGGAAUUGACGGGGCCCGCACAAGCGGCGGAGCAUGUGGCUUAAUUCGACGCAACGCGAAGAACCUUACCAAGCUUGACAUACACCGGAACGGCCAGAGAUGGUCGCCCCCUUGUGGUCGGUGUACAGUGGUGCAUGCUGGCGAACGGGU
RNAcentral lists this ribosomal RNA (944 nucleotides) under Streptomyces sp. RNAcentral's name for it is "bacterial SSU rRNA". It matches the Rfam family "Bacterial small subunit ribosomal RNA", at positions 99 to 1060 of the family's 1533-position model. The record is from RNAcentral. Lineage: Bacteria; Bacillati; Actinomycetota; Actinomycetes; Kitasatosporales; Streptomycetaceae.